Molecule: ribosomal RNA, 422 nt
Filed under: uncultured bacterium
Lineage: Bacteria
Description: bacterial SSU rRNA
Rfam family: Bacterial small subunit ribosomal RNA
Source: RNAcentral
UAGGGAAUAUUGGGCAAUGGAUGCAAGUCUGACCCAGCCAUGCCGCGUGCCGGAAGAAGGCCCCCAGGGUUGUAAACGGCUUUUAUUCGGGAAGAAGAGCAGGGAUGCGUCCUUGUGUGACGGUACCGAAUGAAUAAGCACCGGCUAACUCCGUGCCAGCAGCCGCGGUAAUACGGAGGGUGCGAGCGUUGUCCGGAUUUAUUGGGUUUAAAGGGUGCGUAGGUGGCUUUAUAAGUCAGUGGUGAAAUACAGCCGCUCAACGGUUGAGAUGCCAUUGAUACUGUAGAGCUUGAAACAAUUGGAGGCUGCCGGAAUGGAUGGUGUAGCGGUGAAAUGCAUAGAUAUCAUCCAGAACGGCGAUUGCGAAGGCAAGUGGCUACGUUAGAUUUGACACUGAGAGACGAAAGGAUGGGGAGCAAACA